GGCGUGUCUCGGCUCACAAAAGUUACCUCAGGGUUUCUUACCCUUGCGUUUUCCGCCCUUCAGCUUCCCCCCAAGGUUUCUCUCGCAAACCCUUCCCUCUUCAGGGUUCUCCCCCCGACCUGCGCUGAGUCCCCCUCAGACUUGUUCCCAGCUUCCCCCUUUCCCUGCAUCCCUCCCCGGCUCUCUUUCUCCACACUUUCCCCUUCUCCCACAGCCUCCCCCGCUCGGGGAUCCUUUCCCUGCGUGCCCCCAGUGAGGGGUAAGUGCUUCCCUCCCACAGGGGGUGCAGAUGCCCAGGGUUAGGCUUGCCCCAGCCUCGCGUUCGCAGCCCCCGGUACCCCCCAGUCUGUGGGGCUGGUCUGGAUGGGUGGGGUGACCUGAGGGGAGAGUCUGACCCGAGUGUGUGGGAUUGACUCUGGUGUGUGUGGGGCUGAUCCUGGUAUGUGGGACUGACUGGGUGUGUGUGGGGCUGACCCCGAUGUGAGGGGCUGACCCCCGUAUGUGGGGCUGACUCCGGCCCCAUCACUGACCCCCGUGCCCGUCACUGUCCCGUGUGGGUGGCCGGGGUGGCGAUGGCCGCGGAGCUGGUGAAGGUGGCUGUGCCUUGCCGGCCGCUGAGCGGGCGUGAAGCGGCCCUGGGGCACCGAGCCAUCGUCCAUCGUCGGCGGGGACAGCGCACGGGGCGGUGCCUGGUGCGGAACCCCGCGGCCUCCGCCCAGCCUCCCCAGGCUGCUCUCCUUCGGCGGGGAGCUCAGCACCCAGCACAUCCACAGUGAGAUCGCUACCCCCUGGUGGAGGUCAGUGGGCACCCAGGGCAGUUUUGGGCACCACAAUGAGUUCCAGGAGCGUUUGGACAAUGCUCUCAGGCACAGGGUGGGAUUGUUGGGGUGUCCAUGCAGGACCAGGAGUUGGGCUGUGAUCCCUGUGGGUCCCUUGCAGCUGAGCAUGUUCUGUGAACACAUAGCUCAGGACAGGGGCUGAGGGGUUUUCCAAGUGAUCCCUAAGGAAAGCAGGAUCCACUUGACCUUCCCUACACUCUGCCUAUGGCAGGGUGGUGGAACAAGAUGAACUUUAAGGUCCCUCCCAACCCAAAGCAUUUGGGGUUCCUGAUUUAUGGGCAGAAAGCCCUGUCCGCUGCUUCAAGAGGCUUAGCUACAAGCCUGGGCAGCAGAGGAGAGCAGACAGUGUUCCAGCAACAGUCUGAGAAAUUGAACUUUGUUAGCAGCCAGCAUGGCACUAAGGAGAGAGUUACAUUUAAUUGUUUUAGGUGGAUGUUUUUAUCACAGAAUCCCAGAAUGGUUUGGGUGGGGAAGGCACCUCAUCCCAUCCCAUCUCCUGCCAUGGGCAGAGACACUUUCCAUUAUCCCAGGCUGCUCCAAGCCCUCUCCAGCCUGGCCUUGGACACUGCCAGGGAUCCAGGGGCAGCCACAGCUGCUGUGGUACCAAACUGAUGACUUUAGGGAUAAAUUUACUGUCGAGUGAGAAACCUUAGAGAAGAUGGGGAGCCUCAGCCUGGAUUAGACUGGCAAAAGGAUGGGGGAUCCCUUCGUUUCCUUGUUAGCAGGUCAGCACAGGAAACAGCUGAGGUGAGAAAUGAACCUCUUAAGCAAAAAAAGACCAACCUCCCUCCCCAAAAUGUUUUGUUAGAAGAGGUAACAUGGAUUAAAUGGCUUGUGAUGGUUUUAAGAUGGAAGUUCCUAAUCAUGAGAACAAGCAGGGCUAGAAACAAUCGAUAUUAGAAAAAUAGCUUAUUUUUUCUUAUUUAAAACUUAAGGAAUCCAGUUAUUUUUUCUUCCUACCACACUUCUCUGAAAUAAGGGCAAGUGACAGUGAACAGCUUGCCAAACAAAAAUUAUUCAAAGCUAGAGACCAUCCCCUUGGCCACCCCACAACCAACUGUUGUUCUAGUUGUCUCUUUCAAUCUCAUAAGAUUUUUGUGCCCUAUGGCAAAAAUAUUAUAGUUUGCUAAGUGUUGGUGUUGUCAACUGCUUUUCAACACCUGCACUGCUUCAAGAUUCCUUGUUUUGAGAGAAAAACAUUGAUUUAUAUGCUAAUUUUGUAAUUGCUAUACUCUGAUGACGUGUGAAGAUUAAGCAGCCAUUUGAUGUUUACUUCCAGCUCUUCCUUUAAAACACCUUUUGAGGGGGUGGCAAUGAAUCUGGACAAUGUGUUUCCAGUUAAGAAAUGAUGGUGGCUGUUUUCUCUGCUUUUGCCCCAUCUCCAGGGUCUCAUGGAAGGCUACAAUGGCACCAUCUUUGCCUAUGGCAGUGGGAAAUCCUUCACCAUGCAGGGAGCUGCAGAUUCUUCCUCACAGAAAGGGAUCAUCCCCAGGGUGUUUGAACACAUCUUUGAGAGCCUGCAGGGCUUCUGCCUGCUGGGGCUGCUCACCUGGAAAAAAUCCAGCUCCCUGCCUCAAACCCCAGGUGGAUCUGGAAGCAGAGAAGCAGCUGAUCAGAGCACUGACACACAGACUAGAGCAAUCUCUGACCACACACCUUCACAUGAAGAUGCUGUUGCUGCAGCACAUGAAGAGCCAACAUCA
This is a long non-coding RNA of Melospiza georgiana, 2542 nucleotides long. RefSeq lists it as uncharacterized. The transcript has 3 exons. The record is from RefSeq and is a predicted model, not a curated record. Lineage: Eukaryota; Metazoa; Chordata; Aves; Passeriformes; Passerellidae.